GUAAGAGACCAGAGCCAGACCAUGGCCCCACUACAGGCCAAUAAAGAGGACAGGAAGCAGUUGGUCUCCAUGUCCACUGAAGGAGUAAUUCCCGGUGCCGUCUCUGGACACCAUAUGGUAAUAGUCAUAGGUAACCUUCUCCUCCGAACCCAUCUGGGAUGAAACCUCCUCCCCGUCCUUAUAGAAGACGACCCGUGUGGCUGGGAUCUGGGACAACACGGAGCACUGGAGCUGCACAGAGUCCCCAGGCUGGGCAGACGUCUGGCUCAGAUCCAGACUAACACGGCUACCCCUCUGAUACUUGACACCUUACCAGUGAUGCUGAGGUGCUUGGCAGGGCUGAGCUGGGAUUUGGUCAUCCGGCUGUCGCUGUCCUUGAUCUCGUACCCACAGGAAUAAUUCCCGGAGCUGUGCCCAGACACC
Mauremys mutica (yellowpond turtle) is the source of this 423-nucleotide long non-coding RNA. RefSeq lists it as uncharacterized. The record is from RefSeq and is a predicted model, not a curated record. NCBI's taxonomy places the organism in Eukaryota, Metazoa, Chordata, Testudines, Geoemydidae. The transcript has 3 exons.